RNAcentral lists this transfer RNA (73 nucleotides) under Rhexinema sarcinoideum. RNAcentral describes it as "tRNA-Glu". It matches the Rfam family "tRNA". From Rfam's summary of the family: Transfer RNA (tRNA) molecules are approximately 80 nucleotides in length. Their secondary structure includes four short double-helical elements and three loops (D, anti-codon, and T loops). The record is from RNAcentral. Lineage: Eukaryota; Viridiplantae; Chlorophyta; Ulvophyceae; Ulotrichales; Helicodictyaceae.
GCUCUUUUCGUCUAGUGGCCUAGGACGUUGUCUUUUCACGACAAAAACGCGGGUUCAACUCCCGCAAAGAGCA